UGCCGAAAUAGGAUGCAACAGUUCAGUCCACAGAGCAUGAGACUCUUAAUCUCAGGGCUGUGGGUUUGAACCCCACAUUGGGCAA
Molecule: non-coding RNA, 85 nt
Organism: Podarcis lilfordi (Lilford's wall lizard)
Lineage: Eukaryota; Metazoa; Chordata; Lepidosauria; Squamata; Lacertidae
Source: the annotation of a GenBank genome assembly